GUGCUGGCUUCCAGAGCACAUAUGCCAAAAUUGGAACCAUGUAGAGAAGAUUAGCAUGGCCCCUGGGCAAGGAUGACAUGCAAAUUUGUUUUU
RNAcentral lists this small nuclear RNA (93 nucleotides) under Saimiri boliviensis boliviensis (Bolivian squirrel monkey). Lineage: Eukaryota; Metazoa; Chordata; Mammalia; Primates; Cebidae. The record is from RNAcentral.